CACAAAUCUAGAGAGCUUAUCUGAGGUUCCCGGAGCUGUCUUGUCCAGUCGUCUGAUAUCUCAAGUUAUGCAGGAAUGCACAUCCAACAAUUUCGCCUCCUAUUUGAGAGGUGUCAACACAAUUUUAACCUCUAGAGCACGAAAAAUUCUUCCCAUUACACCAACGUUUGUACAAAAUUCAAAACCAAGAUGGUUUUGGUGAAAUGACCUUCGCGUAGCUGUCCACCAGGUAGAAAGAAGUACAUGUACUUCAAGAGUGGUUGUUAUGCAAUUUUGGAAAUUCUGGUACACUGGAUCUGGAAUUGGUCAAAGUCAAUCAAGUUGGAGGUUCACCGGGGAUUGUUCCAGGUACAAAUUGGCUUCCAGCUUCAUUCCUGUGGUGGGAAAUUUUACUGUGUAAAACAGUGGCUUGUGUCUAUAAUUGGCAUGAAGUUGUCUUAAUUAAAAAGGGAGAAAAUUUUUAUUACCAAUAUCUAAUGCAUUAUUGGGUAUUGUU
Non-coding RNA from Cherax quadricarinatus, 496 nucleotides. Lineage: Eukaryota; Metazoa; Arthropoda; Malacostraca; Decapoda; Parastacidae. The record is from RefSeq and is a predicted model, not a curated record.